AACGGGUGGAGCUUGCGGUUUUAAUUGGAUUCAACGCCGAAAUCUUACCGGGACCGACAGCAAUAUGAAGGCCAGGCUGAAGACUUUGCCGGAUUAGCUGAGAGGUGGUGCAUGGCCGUCGUCAGUUCGUACUGUGAAGCAUCCUGUUAAGUCAGGCAACGAGCGAGACCCACGCCCACAGUUGCCAGCGUACUCUCCGGAGUGACGGGUACACUGUGGGACCGCCGCUGCUAAAGCGGAGGAAGGAAUGGGCAACGGUAGGUCAGUAUGCCCCGAAUAUCCCGGGCUACACGCGAGCUACAAUGGUUGGUACAAUGGGUAUCUACCCCGAAAGGGGACGGGAAUCUCCUAAAACCAAUCUUAGUUCGGAUUGAGGGCUGCAACUCGCCCUCAUGAAGCUGGAAUCCGUAGUAAUCGCGUUUCAACAGAACGCGGUGAAUACGUCCCUGCUCCUU
This 455-nucleotide ribosomal RNA is filed under the name uncultured Methanosaeta sp. RNAcentral's name for it is "bacterial SSU rRNA". It matches the Rfam family "Archaeal small subunit ribosomal RNA", at positions 883 to 1338 of the family's 1478-position model. The record is from RNAcentral. Lineage: Archaea; Methanobacteriati; Methanobacteriota; Methanomicrobia; Methanotrichales; Methanotrichaceae.